UGGACAGAUUAUUGUAUUCGAAUGUAUUCACGGCGUAAAAUAGGGGAUUACACUGUUUUAAAACAGAAAGUGAAUCAAUUAACAUAAUAGACUCCU
MicroRNA precursor from Nicotiana attenuata, 96 nucleotides. It matches the Rfam family "MIR6152 microRNA precursor family". NCBI's taxonomy places the organism in Eukaryota, Viridiplantae, Streptophyta, Magnoliopsida, Solanales, Solanaceae. The record is from Rfam.